RNAcentral lists this ribosomal RNA (1734 nucleotides) under Pinctada imbricata (Akoya pearl oyster). RNAcentral's name for it is "SSU rRNA". The stretch from base 2 to 1117 matches the Rfam family "Eukaryotic small subunit ribosomal RNA", at positions 4 to 1116 of the family's 1831-position model. Lineage: Eukaryota; Metazoa; Mollusca; Bivalvia; Pterioida; Pteriidae. The record is from RNAcentral.
UCUGGUUGAUCCUGCCAGUAGUCAUAUGCUUGUCUCAAAGAUUAAGCCAUGCAUGUCUAAGUACAGACUUAUACAUAGUGAAACCGCGAAUGGCUCAUUAAAUCAGUUAUGGUUCCUUAGAUCCUACAAUCCUACUUGGAUAACUGUGGCAAUUCUAGAGCUAAUACAUGGCAAAACAGCUCCGACCUCACGGGAAGAGCGCUUUUAUUAGAACAAAACUAAUGGCGGUCGCAAGGCCGUCUCACCUUGGUGAUUCUGAAUAACUUUGUGCUGAUCGCAUGAGCUUGCCUCGGCGACGUAUCUUUCAAAUGUCUGCCCUAUCAACUUUCGAUGGUACGUGCUAUGCCUACCAUGGUUGUAACGGGUAACGGGGAAUCAGGGUUCGAUUCCGGAGAGGGAGCAUGAGAAACGGCUACCACAUCCAAGGAAGGCAGCAGGCGCGCAAAUUACCCACUCCUGGCACGGGGAGGUAGUGACGAAAAAUAACAAUACGGGACUCUUACGAGGCCCCGUAAUUGGAAUGAGUACACUUUAAACCUUUUAACGAGUAUCAAUUGGAGGGCAAGUCUGGUGCCAGCAGCCGCGGUAAUUCCAGCUCCAAUAGCGUAUAUUAAAGUUGUUGCGUUUAAAAAGCUCGUAGUUGGAUCUCGGGUCCAGGCUUGCGGUCCGCUCCUUGGCGGUCACUGCUUGAUCCUGACCUACCUGACCGGUUUUUGCCCUUGGUGCUCUUGAUUGAGUGUCUCGGGUGACCGGAACGUUUACUUUGAAAAAAUUAGAGUGCUCAAAGCAGGCGAUUUGCCUGAAUAAUGGUGCAUGGAAUAAUGGAAGAGGACCUCGGUUCUAUUUUGUUGGUUUUCGGAACCAGAGGUAAUGAUUAAGAGGGACUGACGGGGGCAUUGGUAUUGCGGUGUUAGAGGUGAAAUUCUUGGAUCGCCGCAAGACUAACAGCUGCGAAAGCAUUUGCCAAGAAUGUUUUCAUUAAUCAAGAACGAUAGUCAGAGGUUCGAAGACGAUCAGAUACCGUCGUAGUUCUGACUUUAAACGAUGCCAACUGGCGAUCCGCCGGAGUUGCUUCACAACGUCGCCAUUUUGAUUUUGACGUCAUUUUUCGAUUUUGAAUGCUACAUCUUGUAAGAAAGAUUCAAAGUGAGAUCGAAUUUGUAAUAUUUUUAUAUAUCAUAUUUCAUGUAUCAUGAAAUGAUAUCGUAGCUAGAUCGAAAAUAGGAAGUUUGAUGUGAUCAAAAGAGGAUCUAUAAUGAUUUCGAAAAAUAGAUACCAUCUUAAACUAAAUGAAUUGUUCUAUAUCGAUCGAUUAUGAUUUUACGUCAAUGAGUCUUUGCUCGGAUGACCUUCACUUCAAUAUGACUUGUAUGUAUUAGUAUGAAAUAAAAGAAUAACCAUUCAUGGUAUUCUUUUUGUCUCAUAAAACACAAUGUACAUGGAAAAAAUGACGUAAAAUUGAAGAUGUUAGUCGUAUUUCUCAAAUACUGCGCCUACGUCCUCAUUUUGAUUGCGACGUCAUCAAUUUUCUCAAAAACUGCGCCUACGUCCUCAUUUUGAUUGCGACGUCAUUGUCAAUUUUAAAUACUACAUCUAAUGAGGUAGCUUAAAAAUCAAUUUGGAGAUGUAUCAUAUAAUUCAUAUGAAAUAACAUCAUAAGAUCGAGCAUAGGCAAUUUGAUGUGAUCAAAGGACGGUAUAAAUUGAUUUUCGGAGUAAAAUAGUAUAUUCAACG